RNAcentral lists this transfer RNA (70 nucleotides) under Pseudobalistes fuscus (yellow-spotted triggerfish). RNAcentral describes it as "tRNA-Pro". It matches the Rfam family "tRNA". Rfam says of the family: Transfer RNA (tRNA) molecules are approximately 80 nucleotides in length. Their secondary structure includes four short double-helical elements and three loops (D, anti-codon, and T loops). Further hydrogen bonds mediate the characteristic L-shaped molecular structure. tRNAs have two regions of fundamental functional importance: the anti-codon, which is responsible for specific mRNA codon recognition, and the 3' end, to which the tRNAs corresponding amino acid is attached (by aminoacyl-tRNA synthetases). tRNAs cope with the degeneracy of the genetic code in two manners: having more than one tRNA (with a specific anti-codon) for a particular amino acid; and 'wobble' base-pairing, i.e. permitting non-standard base-pairing at the 3rd anti-codon position. The record is from RNAcentral. Lineage: Eukaryota; Metazoa; Chordata; Actinopteri; Tetraodontiformes; Balistidae.
CAAAGAAUAGUUUAAUUAAGAAUACUAGCUUUGGGAGUUAGCAGUGAGGGUUUAAAUCCCUUUUCUUUGA